UUGGAGGGCAAGUCUGGUGCCAGCAGCCGCGGUAAUUCCAGCUCCAAUAGCGUAUGUUAAAGUUGUUGCAGUUAAAAAGCUCGUAGUUGAAUUUCGGGGUUAGUAGGUUGGUCAUGCCUCUGGUAUGUACUGGUCUCACUGAUUCCUCCUUCCUGAUGAACCUUAAUGCCAUUAAUUUGGUGUUUUGGGGAAUUUGGACUGUUACUUUGAAAAAAUUAGAGUGUUUAAAGCAAGCUAACGCUUGAAUACAUUAGCAUGGAAUAAUGAAAUAGGACGUUCGAUCCUAUUUUGUUGGUUUCUAGGAUUGACGUAAUGAUUAAUAGGGAUAGUUGGGGGCAUUAGUAUUCAAUUGUCAGAGGUGAAAUUCUUGGAUUUAUUGAAGACUAACUACUGCGAAAGCAUUUGCCAAGGAUGUUUUCAUUAAUCAAGAACGAAAGUUAGGGGAUCGAAGACGAUCAGAUACCGUCGUGGUCUUAACCAUGAACUAUGCCGACUAGGGAUCGGAUGAUGUUAAUUUUUUAAUGACUCAUUCGGCGCCUUACGGGAAACCAAAGUGUUUGGGUUC
This 565-nucleotide ribosomal RNA is filed under the name uncultured Glomeromycotina. RNAcentral's name for it is "SSU rRNA". It matches the Rfam family "Eukaryotic small subunit ribosomal RNA", at positions 548 to 1114 of the family's 1831-position model. The record is from RNAcentral. Lineage: Eukaryota; Fungi; Glomeromycota.